Molecule: non-coding RNA, 96 nt
Organism: Acanthosepion pharaonis
Lineage: Eukaryota; Metazoa; Mollusca; Cephalopoda; Sepiida; Sepiidae
Source: the annotation of a GenBank genome assembly
GAUUGAAACCCCGAUUCUCGUACGAUCACCGAAGUUAAGCAACGUCGAGCAAGGUCAGUACAUAGAUGACUGCUUGGGAAUACCGGAUGCUGUAAG